UGAUAUUUCCCAUUCAUCUUCCAUUGAGAUUGAUAGGAUUACCAUAGUUAAACUCACCAUCUUGGCUUCUAAAAUUCUUCCAUGCCACUUUCUUACAAUACCCACAUUUUUUUUGUAACUCCUUUAUCUUUCUUGUUUUCAAGAACAUCCCCAAGAAUUUCUGCAGCAAAAAAAUCAGUUUUGGGAGUGAGUUGUGCAAUCACUUCAGGUUUAGCCUUUACCCAUUGCAGAUUCUAGUUCCCCACCAUCACCACCUUCAUCCUUCUCCUCCUCAUAGUCCAUCCUUGCACUAGACGUAGCAGUGACAAAAUCCUGCUCCAUCUCAGCACUAAAAUCCUGCUCCUCCACCUCAGUGCCUUGUCUUUCUUAUUAGAAGUUUCACAUGCGGCAUCUUGCUCUUUGCUUGGCUUUUCAAGAAGUUGAUCUUUAUUAAUAAAGGCUGCCAUAUUUUCCACUUCCAUUCCAUUUUCUAUAAAACCCUCUGGAAUUUUGUGAUUUCAGCUUUAAAUUCUCUUCCUUAGUGGCAAGUGAAGCAUAAACAUCAGCCAUUUCUUCAUUGUGAUCUAUAACUGGCUCUUCUGCAAUGUCCACAUCAUUAAUUGACACUUGCUUCUCUAUUUGGGGGCUUGAAAUCGCAUCUAUUGUAACAUUUUCCUUUUUCUUUUCAUUUUCUAUAAAACCUUCCAGCUCCAAGUCUCGAGAUUGGUCUUUGGAUUUUGCCUCUUACAUCAAUUUCUUACCGCCAUGAGAAAUUACCAUGUCCUCUUCGGGUUUUGUCUCUUUAGACAAUUUCUUCACCCUUUCUAUUUUCUCUUCUAACAACUUAUCCAAUUUCUUCCAUUUUUGAUACAGCAACUCCAAUUGACGUUCUUUUAUUCUUCUGUCAAUAAUUUCCAGCAUUCCCUUAAGAACCUUUUGUUCCCAACUUUGCACCUCCAUGAAUCAAGAAUUUCAAUAACAGGGUUUCAGUGGAAGGAAGGAAGUAAUCUUUGAUCAUACCUGAAACAGAAGCCUGAAAUAAAGAAAUAGAAGUGGAAACCCUAGAAAAUUGACCUGAAACUGAGAAAAGAAACUGGACAGGGAAUUGGAAAAGAAUAAGGAGAGUGAGGCUAAGGAGAAGGCUAUCUCCGUUGACAACAAGGCUAUUUUUCAUGGGAGUGGAGAUAAGCAGAAGAAGACUCGAAAGGUGGAACAAAACUUUCAAAUUACAGAUGGUUUUACGGAAAAUAAAAAAGAUUUCUCAAUGCAUGGGAGAACAUCAUCGGGGUUUGGAUUCAGAAGCUUCCCUUGUCAAUUCACGGUUUCAAGAAUUGGAGCUUGGACAUAUUUUAGAAGACAAACAUAGGAAGAGAGUGAGACUUGCUAAUGGCAACACU
Molecule: unclassified non-coding RNA, 1376 nt
Filed under: Hevea brasiliensis (rubber tree)
Lineage: Eukaryota; Viridiplantae; Streptophyta; Magnoliopsida; Malpighiales; Euphorbiaceae
Source: RNAcentral